AAGCUAUCUUGGGAAUUCAGCCUAAUGCUAUUUCAACGUGUUUUUGAUGAUCUAAUUUAUGUAAAGAUUUGCAAGUGGAUUUCUGUAAUGGUAGACUCAAUAAUUCCAGACAUAAAUCUGUUUCGGAUGCGAUGUCAUUCCUUCCGGUUUCAUCUCACUCAUUUAUUUUUUUGCCUUUAUUUAUUUAACUAGGCAGGUCAGUUAAGAACAAAUUCUUAUUUACAAUUACGGCCUACAAAAUACCUCCUGUGGGGACGGGGCCUGGGAUUAAAAAUAAAAUACAAAUAUAGGACAUAACAUCACGACAAAAGACAGACAACAGCACAACGGGCAAGAAAGUAGAGACAACAAUACAUCACGCGAAACAGCCACAACUGUCAAUAAGAGUGUCCAAUGAUUGAGUCUUUGAAUGAAGAGAUUGAGAUAAAACUGUCCAGUUUGAGUGUUUCUUGCAGCUCGUUCCAGUCACAAGCUGUAGCAAACUGAAAAGACGAGCGACCCAGGGAUUAUGUGCUUUGGGGACCUUUAACAGAAUGUGACUGGCAGAACGGGUGUAUGUGGAGGAUGAAGGCCGCAGUGGAGAGGGAGUAAGAUCACUAGAAAGGAACAUGGUGCCAGAGCUGGAAUAAAGCUGUUGUUGCACAGCAGAGGUAUUACAGUCAAUGCAUAUGAACUGAAUAUUGUGUGUGAAUUGCACAUUUAUAUCAUUGGCACUAAGAAAAGGGUUGUACAGCAACAUGACCAGUACACACAGCUUUGGUGAUGAAAGGUAUGUCAUGGAGGUGACUAUGUAUAUAUUAGAAGAUUCCCCAAUACAUUGCAUUAUAUGCCCAGAACCUAAUUCACCUGGUACGGGUGAAUAUAAGGUGCGCACCUCUUUGCUGGAGCAGACCGGGACCAGUGUUGAAAUGGAACGAGAAGGCCUUUAUGGGAAUUGGGAGGGUCAACGCUUCACCCUUUCCAAAAGCUAAGUACCUCUCCAUAUUCCAUUUCCAACAUUUCACCUGCUAGCACUGCCUGCUGACAUUCUCUACUGCUUUGUGUGCUACGCACAGCCAGUACAGUAGUGCACCUACUGUGAACCAGAGAGGAGGCCUUUUGGGAUACUGGAAAGGUGAAGCACAAUUCGGGUUGAAUUCAUUAUGGAUUAUAGUGACUUUUCUGCCUGAACACUCAUUGCUCACAUCUAAACUAUUUGAGUUACUAGUGUCCCCCCAAUGACAAUGAAAAACUUUUCUGAGUAGACAUGAUUGGCCUUUAUUGAUAACAUUACUUAAGCCACUGUCUCCUGCCUCCAUUUUUAUUUUCCCAUUCAAGCCUUUUUGAUUUUCCCAUUUAAGUUUGUUUAAAUCUAUUUACUAUUUCCCCAUUACCUUUGAUAUUAUACUCCUUUCCUUAGUUCUAUUGUUGCUUAUUAUGAUUUAGUUUAAUCAUUUUUGGAGAGGUAUUGUGGAGUUUUAUUGUAAUUGGCCCUAUGACGUUUCAGCUAAAUCUGUUGACAGAAUCUUUCUUUCACUCAGUACAACAGAACCCAGGAGAGGCCUGCUGUGAACACUGGCUUGGAUCCCUCAGAGCGUACCUGCAGUGGUGUGACCACGGAAGAGUCCUCAAGGACUUUUAAAAUAGGACUUUUCCAUUUGAUCUUUUUGGACUUGUCCACUUGGGACUUUUAGCUAUUGUUAAAUAAAUAAUGUAGAACACC
Oncorhynchus nerka (sockeye salmon) is the source of this 1702-nucleotide long non-coding RNA. RefSeq lists it as uncharacterized. The transcript has 2 exons. The record is from RefSeq and is a predicted model, not a curated record. Lineage: Eukaryota; Metazoa; Chordata; Actinopteri; Salmoniformes; Salmonidae.